This 311-nucleotide long non-coding RNA is filed under the name Vigna radiata. Its description in RNAcentral is "long non-coding RNA (VRAD_LNC002708)". Lineage: Eukaryota; Viridiplantae; Streptophyta; Magnoliopsida; Fabales; Fabaceae. The record is from RNAcentral.
UGCCAACUAGCCAGAAGCAUGCAAAAGAAAAUCAAACCAAUUGGGGUCAUUCUUUUAACCGAUCCUUUUCAUGCCCAUUACCUCUUCCAAAUAGAACCACGUGCCAAAGAAAAAAACUGAGACAACUUUGUUAGUCUCCCACGAGUUUUUCAUCAAUCCAUAAUCCCAAGGCUAGGGCAGCUUUGCAAGUCUCACUUGAUUUUUUCACCCUAAUUUUCAUGGAACCAUACCCCAUGCCCAUUUUCCCUAACACCAAGUUGGGGCACCCUUUGGGUAUCUCGUGUUCCACCUUGACAUUCACAUAUUGCAUC